Molecule: long non-coding RNA, 1103 nt
Organism: Mesocricetus auratus (golden hamster)
Lineage: Eukaryota; Metazoa; Chordata; Mammalia; Rodentia; Cricetidae
Exons: 4
Source: RefSeq, a predicted model, not a curated record
GGGGCGGCGUGACGUGGGUGGGACCAACGGGACGCCCCGCCCCGACCUCUCUGGACUAUGAUUGCGCCUGCGCAACUCGAGGCUCUUGGCCCUUCCUAGAACCCGGAGGGAAUGUAUUAUUUCCCAUGAGUGGGGAGACCCUGAGAUUUAGGCCGCAGAAACGAGGCUUGUGGGCGCAGCGGCCUCUGAGGACUCCACUGACGCAGCUGAGCCGGCCUGCGACCCUGGAAAGAGAACCAUCAACAGGCAGGUGGUGGGAGACAGAGGAUCCAGCCUCAAUCACCAGACUGGAAGAAGGAGCCAGGUUCUGCAGAAUUCCAGGCCCCCUUAGCUUCCUGUCUCACCUCCCCCAAAGCCCCGUGUUCCUGUGGACACCAGAGCUCCAAGACCUUUCGUAGAAGCCUGUUCAUGGGGUGACCAGAGCCUGUGAUAACUGCUGACAAGUGGGACCAUGCCGAGCCCUGUUCUGUGUUUUGAGAAGUCGCAGGCCCUGUCACUUCAAAGCUUCAUCUUGUAUUCCACACCCGACUUCACCUUGAGACCCUCUUUGUCUACUCCACAAGUCCAGGGUCACAUCUCAUGGGACAGUGCCAGCCACAUUCAGGACGGUGUUUCCUCCUCAGUUAGAUCUCUCUGCAAACACCUUCACUCAUACCCAGAGGGGCGUGCAUCUGCUAGCUGAUCUCAAUCCAAUCAAGUUGACAAUGAAGGAGAAAUGACUGUGUGGUUCUGCUCAUGAGGCUACGCAAGCAGCUUGGCUGACCUCUAGCUCUGUGGCUGAUGAUUUGGAGGAUAACUGCAAUCUCAUGUGACCUCCAAAACAGCUCCUUCCCUUCAAGACAGCAUUUUAUGUGAGCCCUCCAGUGUCCUUACCGCAUGUGUUUUAAAAUCCUCUCUCUGAAGAUACUCCGUUUAAAUCUGGUCUUUCAGUGCCCAAGAUCCCAGCUUGCUGUGAAUUCUUUGGGUUUCUGGCUCUGCUCUACACUGAUGGCUCUGGAGACUUUGAGGUGAUGAUGCCCUGGGCUGUCCCUCCGGAUAUUCAGCCAUUCAUACCACAGCAGCAGAGCCCUGGCAAGCAGAGUUAGGACAAGGUAAGCAAAACG